This 776-nucleotide ribosomal RNA is filed under the name uncultured Neocallimastigales. RNAcentral describes it as "partial large subunit ribosomal RNA". It matches the Rfam family "Eukaryotic large subunit ribosomal RNA", at positions 22 to 628 of the family's 3401-position model. The record is from RNAcentral. Lineage: Eukaryota; Fungi; Neocallimastigomycota; Neocallimastigomycetes; Neocallimastigales.
AUAUCAGUCAUGCAUAGCAUAUCAAUAAGCGGAGGAAAAGAAACUAACAAGGAUUCCCUUAGUAACGGCGAGUGAAGCGGGAAGAGCUCAAAUUUGAAAUCUUCAAGGUUUUACCUUGACGAAUUGUAGUUUAAAGAAGUGUUUUCUGUUGAAGUUUUGGUAAAAGUUCUUUGGAAUAGGACAUCAUAGAGGGUGAGAAUCCCGUAUUUGACCAUUACUUUCAGCUUUGUGAUACACUUUCAAAGAGUCGGAUUGUUUGGGAAUGCAGUCCAAAAUGGGUGGUAAAUUUCAUCUAAAGCUAAAUAUUGGCGAGAGACCGAUAGCGAACAAGUACCGUGAGGGAAAGAUGAAAAGAACUUUGAAAAGAGAGUUAAACAGUACGUGAAAUUGUCAAAAGGGAAGCGUUUGACACCAGUGUUGUUUUCUCGAAAAUCAAUUAAAAAGAGUUGGAUUUUGUGUUGUAUUGACUUUAUCAGGCUUUCUUCACUCUUUUCCAGCUUUUUUUAAUGCACUUUUCGUUUAACAAGUCAACAUCAGUUUCUUUUGUUGUAAAAAGGUCAUUGGAAGGUGGCUUUCUCUUCGGAGAAAGUGUUUAUAGCCUUUGACUCAUGCAAUCGGAGAGACUGAGGUCUGCAGCGUAGAUCCUUCGGGGUUAGAUACAUUUGUGCUAAGUUAUAGCUUUUCAUAGACAACUUGUUGACUAUGUUUAGUCUUGUAGCUUACUCGCUUAUGCUAUUUUACCUACGCUUAGGAUGUUGAAACUCUAUCACACACAG